UGCGUAGGUGGAUAAAUAAGUUGGACGUGAAAGCCCCGGGCUCAACCUGGGAUGGUCGUCCAAUACUGUUUGUCUAGAGUAUGGUAGAGGGUGGUAGAAUUUCCGGUGUAGCGGUGAAAUGCGUAGAUAUCGGAAGGAAUAUCAAUGGCGAAGGCAGCCACCUGGGCUAAUACUGACACUGAGGCACGAAAGCAUGGGGAGCAAACAGGAUUAGAUACCCUGGUAGUCCAUGCCGUAAACGAUGAAAACUAGCCGUUGGGCAUCUACGGAUGUUUAGUGGCGCAGCUAACGCGAUAAGUUUUCCGCCUGGGGAGUACGGCCGCAAGGCUAAA
This 332-nucleotide ribosomal RNA is filed under the name uncultured Pseudomonas sp. RNAcentral describes it as "bacterial SSU rRNA". It matches the Rfam family "Bacterial small subunit ribosomal RNA", at positions 568 to 898 of the family's 1533-position model. The record is from RNAcentral. Lineage: Bacteria; Pseudomonadati; Pseudomonadota; Gammaproteobacteria; Pseudomonadales; Pseudomonadaceae.